This 701-nucleotide small RNA is filed under the name Pan troglodytes (chimpanzee). RNAcentral describes it as "retained intron". The record is from RNAcentral. Lineage: Eukaryota; Metazoa; Chordata; Mammalia; Primates; Hominidae.
GAGGCCGGGCGUCUUCGGUCAUCUCCGGCGCUUGUAGGGGUGGUUCCCGUCAUCUUCGGGAGCCGUGGAGCUCUCGGAUACAGCCGACACCAUGGGUUUCGGAGACCUGAAAAGCCCUGCCGGCCUCCAGGUGCUCAACGAUUACCUGGCGGACAAGAGCUACAUCGAGGGGUAUGUGCCAUCACAAGCAGAUGUGGCAGUAUUUGAAGCCGUGUCCAGCCCACCGCCUGCCGACUUGUGUCAUGCCCUACGUUGGUAUAAUCACAUCAAGUCUUACGAAAAGGAAAAGGCCAGGUAAAAUCAUCUUUGUAUAGAGCUGAAGAAUAAGACUGCUCUCGAAGUUUAUCAGGAUGUUCACAUGACAAAACUGGACCCAGGCUACUUUAGUUUUGUUGGGAUAUUGUAAGCUAAAUUUUUCUGUAACCUUAGAAGGCCAAGAGACUGAAGCCCUCCAUUUUUUCACAGAACAGGUAGAACAUGGACAGCAGCAAUUCAACUUUUCCCCACACUGCCCUGCCAAUGUGCCUCGACCUUGACCUGGGGGGCCCACCUCUGGGGUGAGAGGGUGGCUCAUUCAUUCAGUCCUUGGCCAUUCUUCUGAAACUGCCAACAAGGGUGGAAGUUUGGGGAAGUGGACUCCAGUUCACUAAGAAUGGAACUGAGCAUACUUAAUGAAAUCUCAAACAGAAAUGUUCAUACUG